GAUGAACGCUGGCGGCGUGCCUAAUACAUGCAAGUCGAGCGAACGGACGAGAAGCUUGCUUCUCUGAUGUUAGCGGCGGACGGGUGAGUAACACGUGGAUAACCUACCUAUAAGACGGGGAUAACUUCGGGAAACCGGAUCUAAUACCGGAUGAUAUUUUGAACCGCAGGGUGCAAAAGUGAAAGACGGUCUUGCUGUCACUUAUAGAUGGAUCCGCGCUGCAUUGGCUAGUUGGUAAGGUAACGGCUUACCAAGGCAACGAUGCAUAGCCGACCUGAGAGGGUGAUCGCCCACACUGGAGCUGAGCCACGGUCCAGGCUCCUACGGGAGGCAGCAGUAGGGAACCUUCCGCAAUGGGCGGAAGCCUGACGGAGCAACGCCGCGUGAGUGAUGAAGGUCUUCGGAUCGUAAAACUCUGUUAUUAGGGAAGAACAUAUGUGUAAGUAACUGUGCACAGCUUGACGGUACCUAAUCAGAAAGCCCCGGCUAACUACGUG
This 497-nucleotide ribosomal RNA is filed under the name uncultured bacterium. RNAcentral's name for it is "partial 16S ribosomal RNA". It matches the Rfam family "Bacterial small subunit ribosomal RNA", at positions 28 to 507 of the family's 1533-position model. The record is from RNAcentral.